CCUACGGGACGCACCAGUGGGGAAUAUUGCACAAUGGGCGCAAGCCUGAUGCAGCCAUGCCGCGUGUAUGAAGAAGGCCUUCGGGUUGUAAAGUACUUUCAGCGGGGAGGAAGGCGAUAAGGUUAAUAACCUUGUCGAUUGACGUUACCCGCAGAAGAAGCACCGGCUAACUCCGUGCCAGCAGCCGCGGUAAUACGGAGGGUGCAAGCGUUAAUCGGAAUUACUGGGCGUAAAGCGCACGCAGGCGGUCUGUCGAGUCGGAUGUGAAAUCCCCGGGCUCAACCUGGGAACUGCAUUCGAAACUGGCAGGCUGGAGUCUUGUAGUGGGGGGUAGAAUCCCAGGUGUAGCGGUGAAAUGCGUAGAGAUCUGGAGGAAUACCGGUGGCGAAGGCGGCCCCCUGGACAAAGACUGACGCUCAGGUGCGAAAGCGUGGGGAGCAAGCAGGAUUAGAUACCCCAGUAGUC
This 465-nucleotide ribosomal RNA is filed under the name uncultured bacterium. RNAcentral's name for it is "bacterial SSU rRNA". It matches the Rfam family "Bacterial small subunit ribosomal RNA", at positions 338 to 795 of the family's 1533-position model. The record is from RNAcentral.